This 273-nucleotide ribosomal RNA is filed under the name uncultured bacterium. Its description in RNAcentral is "partial 16S ribosomal RNA". It matches the Rfam family "Bacterial small subunit ribosomal RNA", at positions 523 to 796 of the family's 1533-position model. The record is from RNAcentral.
AUACGUAUGUCGCAAGCGUUAUCCGGAAUUAUUGGGCGUAAAGCGAGUCUAGGCGGCUUGUUAAGUCAGAUGUGAAAAUGCGGGGCUCAACUCCGUAUUGCGUUUGAAACUGGCAGGCUAGAGUACUGGAGAGGUGGGCGGAACUACAAGUGUAGAGGUGAAAUUCGUAGAUAUUUGUAGGAAUGCCGAUAGUGAAGACAGCUCACUGGACAGAUACUGACGCUAAAGCUCGAAAGCGUGGGGAGCAAACAGGAUUAGAAACCCCAGUAGUCC